This 363-nucleotide ribosomal RNA is filed under the name Clostridium botulinum. Its description in RNAcentral is "partial 23S ribosomal RNA". It matches the Rfam family "Bacterial large subunit ribosomal RNA", at positions 2035 to 2396 of the family's 2925-position model. Lineage: Bacteria; Bacillati; Bacillota; Clostridia; Eubacteriales; Clostridiaceae. The record is from RNAcentral.
GGCGAAAUUGUAGUGCAAGUGAAGAUGCUUGCUACCCGCGAUUGGACGGAAAGACCCCGUAGAGCUUUACUGUAGCUUAGCAUUGAAUCUCGGUAUUGUCUGUACAGGAUAGGUGGGAGACUUGGAAGCUUGGGCGUCAGCCUGAGUGGAGUCAUCCUUGGGAUACCACCCUGACAGUACUGGGGUUCUAACCGGCGGCCAUGAAUCUGGUCACGGGACAUUGUUAGGUGGGCAGUUUGACUGGGGCGGUCGCCUCCUAAAAAGUAACGGAGGCGCCCAAAAGUUCCCUCAGCGCGGUCGGAAAUCGCGCGAAGAGUGCAAAGGCAGAAGGGAGCUUGACUGCGACACAUACAGGUGGAGCAG